CAAGCCAUCAACAAAAUUUAGCAGCCCGGAUAACGUCACCUGUGCAGACAGCAAACAAAUUGUCAUCAGCAUAGACAAGGAUAUCUGAGAAAUUGAGUAGAGAGGUUCGUAUAUGUGUGGAAGGUAUUCUGACUUCAAAGCUCAAUGGUACAAUCGACAUCUUCAACCACGAGAAUGGAUCGGUUGUUCAUGCCGAUAAGAAGCUUCCGGAGGUCCGAGUUGGAUUCGACCCCAGUCAAGUCAAGGUCAUAUAUGUCGAACCUGAGGUGGUUGGCUAUUGCGGCGAUGAGGCUGGACUUGCCGGUACCCGGCGGACCGUACAGCAGAUAUUGCUCCAGAUUCGUAAAGCGGCCUCGGGGGGAAAGCGGUGCAGACUCUGCUUCCUUGGCAUCCAAGUUUGCCUGGAAUCGUUCCACUUUUUUCCUGCUGACUUCCACACAAACUAAUUCAGCAGGUACAGGUUGUUGCUGGUCUGGGAAUGGUUCCUGUUUUGCCAAAGCAUCUUGCAGACAGAGCAUGCAAGCUUUCGUUGCUGGGAACAGUCUUCUCCUUGGGAUUUUCUUUGUAUAGAGUCCUAUGGGAUAAAUACCUGCCAACCUUAACCUUGAGUGGUUCUUCUUUGUUUAGCUGUGUUUCUUGCCCUGAUGAACAUGUUGAUCUAAUUCUCCGUUUUAUCUGCAUGAAGAAACCAAAUGCGUUGAACAUGCCUGCAAUCUGUUUGUUGCAGUCUAUACUUGGAGCCAAGGACUUUUUCCGUUUGAUGUUCUCUGUGUUGCUUCUCACAUCUCAGAUGCAUUUAAAGAUUGCCGCACUACCUGUGUUCUGUUGGGCAGUUGAUCAUGUUGCCAGAUUACCAAGGCGUAAUUUUGCCCACUCAUCUUUCUAUAGGGAAUAUACUUGGAAGAACCCUGUUUUUGAGUGGAUGCAAAUAACACCACACUCAGCCUCCUUAGUUCAAAUGUCGAGCUUGCCUUGCGGUUUCUUCUGAUCAUUUCUUUUUUCUCGUGGCAACACAACAUAGUUCAGACAUUGAUCUACUGGAAUUUGAAGACGAUACUGUGCUCCUGUAACAUCAAGCUAUCACCAGAGCAGAUCGUCAACCCUUAAAUCCACCUCUACGCUCCAUUCCUCGAAACGCCCAUCUCCGCGGUUCCACAGUAGUGGCUCAGGCAGCUAGACAUGAGGACCAAAUCAGGAUCUUGCAGGUGACGUCCGUAAGAGUUGUCGAUGUGUUCCGUUCCGUUCCAGUCGAUGCGGACAGAAGGAGGAAGACCUGUCUAUGUCGUCAGGAGCUCGACAAGAUCAUCGAGCGCAACAUCAGUGUCAUCGUUCCUCAUCAGAACCUCGGCGACCUCUGCAGGUGUCACAGUCACCUCCUUGAUAAGCUCCUCGAUCUCUGGAUACUUGGCAUGGUAUUCGAUGGCGUGGUAAUUAUUGACAAGGAUCCGGAAAGCCUCUGGGGUGCAGUACCCCAUGUGGAUGUGCAUGUCCAUCCUGCCAGGCCGCAAAAGUGCUGGAUCAAGACGCUCCUUGUAAUUGGUCGUGAAGACGACGAUCCUUUCCUCUCCACUUGUCGACCACAAGCCAUCAACAAAAUUGAGCAGCCCGGAUAAUGUUACCUGUGCAGACAGCAACCAAAUUGUUAUCAGCAUAGGCAAGAAAUCUUUGGAAUCAAGGAGUGGGGAGGUUUUACAUAUUUAUAUAAACAUAGAAGGUGUUCUGACUCCAAAGUUACCUUGUCUUCUGUCUUCUUUUUCUCUUUGGAAUUGGACUUGGACUUGGAUUUUUCCUUGUCCUCCUCCUGCUCCUCCCGUUGCAUCAGUUCGAUGGUACAGUCGAUGUCUUCAACCACGAGGAUGGAUCGGUUGGUCAUCCCAACAAGAAGCCUCCUAAGGUCUGAGUUGGACUCAACCCCAGUCAGCUCAAGGUCAUAUAUGUCGAACCUGAGGUGGUUGGCUAUGGCAGCGAUGAGGCUGGACUUGCCGGUACCCGGUGGACCGUACAACAGGUGGUGCUCCACUCAGCUCCAGAUUGCGAUCGGUGAAAGUGGUGCAGGCUUCGCUUCCUUGCAUCCAAGUUUGCUUGGAACUUUACCCUUUUUUUCCAGCAAUCUCGUAGUAUUCUCGAAAAAAAACUACAUAUGGUAGUAUAUCAUUAAUACAGCCUGUAGUUGUCACCUAGUACCAUAAAGUUUUCUU
This is a non-coding RNA of Lolium perenne, 2198 nucleotides long. NCBI's taxonomy places the organism in Eukaryota, Viridiplantae, Streptophyta, Magnoliopsida, Poales, Poaceae. The record is from RefSeq and is a predicted model, not a curated record.